This 484-nucleotide ribosomal RNA is filed under the name uncultured bacterium. RNAcentral's name for it is "partial 16S ribosomal RNA". It matches the Rfam family "Bacterial small subunit ribosomal RNA", at positions 30 to 507 of the family's 1533-position model. The record is from RNAcentral.
AUUGAACGCUGGCGGCAGGCCUAACACAUGCAAGUCGAGCGGAUGAAGGGAGCUUGCUCCUGGAUUCAGCGGCGGACGGGUGAGUAAUGCCUAGGAAUCUGCCUGGUAAUGGGGGAUAACGUCCGGAAACGGGCGCUAAUACCGCAUACGUCCUGAGGGAGAAAGUGGGGGAUCUUCGGACCUCACGCUAUCAGAUGAGCCUAGGUCGGAUUAGCUAGUUGGUGGGGUAAGGGCCUACCAAGGCGACGAUCCGUAACUGGUCUGAGAGGAUGAUCAGUCACACUGGAACUGAGACACGGUCCAGACUCCUACGGGAGGCAGCAGUGGGGAAUAUUGGACAAUGGGCGAAAGCCUGAUCCAGCCAUGCCGCGUGUGUGAAGAAGGUCUUCGGAUUGUAAAGCACUUUAAGUUGGGAGGAAGGGCAGUAAGUUAAUACCUUGCUGUUUUGACGUUACCAACAGAAUAAGCACCGGCUAACUUCGUG